CGCAGAAUUACUAAUCUGCGACGCAAAUGACUCUUUAAGUCACCUGCGUCGCAGAUUAGUAAUUCUGCGACGCAGAGGAGGUAAAAAAAAUUCGGAAGUUUUUAAUUAUUCCUUCUCCCCUCUUUUUCUCUCUCUUCUUCUUUCCAGAACUCCAUUCAUGAGAUGUCAAUACCUCUCAAUCUUUCAUUCAUUUGAAAUCUCCUCUAACCACUAUACGUAUUUUGCCUUUAAUUUACCCGGAAAAAUCAAGAUUUGCGAAAACACGGCUCGAAGAGAAAAAUCCUAGAUUCCGCCGCGAAGAAGGAGACAUUUCAAAGCAGUGCAGCUCGAUUGCUAGCGAGUCUCCGAUCCAAUUCUGCGAAUUAGUUCGUCGGCGAUUUAGCCUAUUUCUAGGGUUUUUAAGGUUGGGUGAAACGCCAAACCGUUGGAGCUGGAUCUUCGGUUAACGUCGCCGCCGUCAUUGAUUACCUUAUUUCUUAGAUGGUGCCUGAUAUUGUAGAGGGUGAUGGGUUUGUUGGGAGGCAGCCUCAUAUCAAGUAUGAGCUCAGAGAUAGUCCUGGUCUUGGUGAGUAUUCAAUUUUUAAAAUCAAUAGUUCUUUGGAAGUUAAACUAUUUUCUUUCAUAUUUUUAGUUGUUUUGAUAUUUUUGUUGCUUACAUUGUGCUCACACAAAUUUAAACAUCAGUUUGAUGCUUGUUGUGUUGUUCUAAUAUGAUUUAGUGAAUG
Spinacia oleracea (spinach) is the source of this 725-nucleotide long non-coding RNA. RefSeq lists it as uncharacterized. The transcript has 3 exons. NCBI's taxonomy places the organism in Eukaryota, Viridiplantae, Streptophyta, Magnoliopsida, Caryophyllales, Amaranthaceae. The record is from RefSeq and is a predicted model, not a curated record.